AUCCAUGUAGCGCAAUGGAUAGCGCGUUGGACUUCUAAUCCAAAGGUCGUGCGUUCGAAUCGCACUAGAGAUG
Non-coding RNA from Trichonephila clavipes, 73 nucleotides. The record is from the annotation of a GenBank genome assembly. NCBI's taxonomy places the organism in Eukaryota, Metazoa, Arthropoda, Arachnida, Araneae, Nephilidae.